This 451-nucleotide ribosomal RNA is filed under the name uncultured bacterium. RNAcentral describes it as "bacterial SSU rRNA". It matches the Rfam family "Bacterial small subunit ribosomal RNA", at positions 28 to 509 of the family's 1533-position model. The record is from RNAcentral.
GAUGAACGCUGGCGGCGUGCCUAACACAUGCAAGUCGAGCGAUUCUCUUCGGAGAAGAGCGGCGGACGGGUGAGUAACGCGUGGGUAACCUGCCCUGUACACACGGAUAACAUACCGAAAGGUAUGCUAAUACGAGAUAAUAUGCUUUUAUCGCAUGGUAGAAGUAUCAAAGCUCCGGCGGUACAGGAUGGACCCGCGUCUGAUUAGCUAGUUGGUAAGGUAACGGCUUACCAAGGCGACGAUCAGUAGCCGACCUGAGAGGGUGAUCGGCCACAUUGGAACUGAGACACGGUCCAAACUCCUACGGGAGGCAGCAGUGGGGAAUAUUGCACAAUGGGCGAAAGCCUGAUGCGGCAACGCCGCGUGAGCGAUGAAGGCCUUCGGUCGUAAGCUCUGUCCUCAAGAGAUAAUGACGGUACUUGAGGAGGAAGCCCCGGCGUAACUACGUGCC